This 500-nucleotide ribosomal RNA is filed under the name uncultured bacterium. RNAcentral's name for it is "bacterial SSU rRNA". It matches the Rfam family "Bacterial small subunit ribosomal RNA", at positions 30 to 504 of the family's 1533-position model. The record is from RNAcentral.
CGAACGCUGGCGGCGUGGCUAAAACAUGCAAGUCGAACGCGAACGUUCCCUUCGGGGAAUUAUUAGAGUGGCGAAAGGGCGAGGAAUACAUGGGUAACGUACCCCGAGCACAGGGACAGCCGCGGGAAACCGCGAGUAAUACCUGAUGAGACCACAGUAACUCAAGUUACAGCGGUCAAAGGGUGGGGACUCCUUCGGGAGCCUACCGGCUUAGGAGCGACCCAUGUCCUAUCAGCUUGUUGGUGAGGUAACGGCCCACCAAGGCUAUGACGGGUACCGGGACUGAGAGGUUGGCCCGGCGCAUUGGGACUGAGACACUGCCCAGACUCCUACGGGAGGCUGCAGUAACGAAUAUUCCACAAUGGGCGAAAGCCUGAUGGAGCGACGCCGCGUGCAGGAUGAAGCUCUUCGGAGUGUAAACUGCAAUCCAGGGACUACCAAGCGAAGGGACCCAAUACGUCCCCAAGUUGAGGACUCCCAGGGAAGCCACGGCUAACUUC